Molecule: ribosomal RNA, 380 nt
Filed under: uncultured eukaryote
Lineage: Eukaryota
Description: SSU rRNA
Rfam family: Eukaryotic small subunit ribosomal RNA
Source: RNAcentral
AGCUCCAAUAGCGUAUAUUUAAGUUGUUGCAGUUAAAAAGCUCGUAGUUGGAUUUCGGAGAGGUACUGCCGGUCUGCCGUUUCGGUACGCACUGGCAGCGCCUUUCUUGCUGCCGGAAACGGGCUCCUGAGCUUAAUUGCUCGGGACUCGGUGUCGGCGAGGUUACUUUGAGUAAAUUAGAGUGUUCAAAGCAGGCCUACGCUCUGAAUACAUUAGCAUGGAAUAACACGAUAGGACUCUGGCCUAUCUCGUUGGUCUGUGGGACCGGAGUAAUGAUUAAGAGGGACAGUCGGGGGCAUUCGUAUUUCAUUGUCAGAGGUGAAAUUCUUGGAUUUAUGAAAGACGAACUUCUGCGAAAGCAUUUGCCAAGGAUGUUUUCA